This 279-nucleotide long non-coding RNA is filed under the name Arachis ipaensis. RNAcentral's name for it is "long non-coding RNA (AIPA_LNC001772)". Lineage: Eukaryota; Viridiplantae; Streptophyta; Magnoliopsida; Fabales; Fabaceae. The record is from RNAcentral.
GCUGUCAUAUAGGAGAGUGUGGGAGUAGUGGAGCGCAAGAGGGAGAAGGAUGGUGCGCUGUUGGAGCCACAUCACCGCCGUUCCUCACUAUCACCGCCGCGUUUCACCGCCGUCGUUAAACUUCCAUCGCCGUCGCCACUGUUCAACCCGCCAUCAGGGAGAGGCACUUUCAUCGAACCCUAGCCAUCACUAUCGCCUCUGCACGCAAAGAAGGGGCUGAUGUCACUGUUGCCACUGUUGCCGUCGAUUUGGAGUUGCCAUAGACACAGUUGUUUCUAC